CGGGGUGAUUGCCGCCUGCUUCUCGCGCUCGUCGAGGAUCAGCUUGUCGCGCUUGGUUGCGACUUCGCGAAUCUUCGCCAUCGAGGCGCCGGUGCCGGCCGGGAUCAGGCGGCCGACAAUGACGUUCUCCUUGAGGCCUUCGAGCGGGUCCACCUUGCCGUUGACGGCAGCUUCGGUGAGCACGCGGGUGGUCUCCUGGAACGACGCUGCCGAGAAGAACGACCGUGUCUGCAGGCUCGCCU
RNAcentral lists this unclassified non-coding RNA (242 nucleotides) under Hevea brasiliensis (rubber tree). Lineage: Eukaryota; Viridiplantae; Streptophyta; Magnoliopsida; Malpighiales; Euphorbiaceae. The record is from RNAcentral.